UACGUAGGGUGCAAGCGUUGUCCGGAAUUAUUGGGCGUAAAGAGCUCGUAGGCGGUUUGUCGCGUCGGCUGUGAAAACUCGGGGCUUAACCCCGAGCCUGCUUCUGAUACGGGCAGACUUGAGGUAUGCAGGGGAGAACGGAAUUCCUGGUGUAGCGGUGGAAUGCGCAGAUAUCAGGAGGAACACCGGUGGCGAAGGCGGGUCUCUGGGCAGUAACUGACGCUGAGGAGCGAAAGCGUGGGGAGCGAACAGG
RNAcentral lists this ribosomal RNA (253 nucleotides) under uncultured bacterium. RNAcentral's name for it is "partial 16S ribosomal RNA". It matches the Rfam family "Bacterial small subunit ribosomal RNA", at positions 524 to 776 of the family's 1533-position model. The record is from RNAcentral.